Molecule: transfer RNA, 61 nt
Filed under: Fukomys damarensis (Damara mole-rat)
Lineage: Eukaryota; Metazoa; Chordata; Mammalia; Rodentia; Bathyergidae
Rfam family: tRNA
About the family: Transfer RNA (tRNA) molecules are approximately 80 nucleotides in length. Their secondary structure includes four short double-helical elements and three loops (D, anti-codon, and T loops).
Source: Rfam by way of RNAcentral
UGUAGCUCAGUAGUAGAGUGCUUGCUUAGCAUGCAUGAGACCCUAAAUUCAAUUUUCAGCA